Molecule: unclassified non-coding RNA, 260 nt
Filed under: plant metagenome
Description: partial contains small subunit ribosomal RNA, internal transcribed spacer 1, and 5.8S ribosomal RNA
Source: RNAcentral
UUUCCGUAGGUGAACCUGCGGAAGGAUCAUUACCGAAUUAUCAAACGGGUUGUUGCUGGUCUUCAAACGGGGACAUGUGCACGCUCUGCUUACACAUCCACUCACACCUGUGCACCCUCCGUAGUUCUAUGGUCUGGGGGACCCUGUCUUCCUGGCGUGGUUCUACGUCUUUACACACACUCUGUAAUAAAGUCUUAUGGAAUGUAUGCCGCGUCUAACGCAAUACAAUACAACUUUCAGCAACGGAUCUCUUGGCUCUC